CUUCCCACGAAAUGUGUCCCACGCGCCACGCCGUCGGUUUCCAGGGCAACCCGGCACCUCUUAGCAGCCCCGCGCGCCGCGGGAGUCGUUUCCUGCGCCCCCAGCCCUGCCAUGGCGGCCGCGGGCCCCAGCGUCUUCCUACUCAUGGUCAACGGGCAGGUGGAGAGCGCCCAGUUUCCUGAGUAUGAUGAUCUCUACUGCAAGUACUGCUUUGUGUACGGCCAGGACUGGGCCCCCACGGCGGGUCUGGAGGAGGGCAUCUCACAGAUCACAUCCAAGAGCCAAGAUGUGCGGCGAGCGCUGGUGUGGAACUUCCCCAUCGAUGUCACCUUUAAAAGCACCAACCCUUAUGGCUGGCCACAGAUCGUGCUCAGUGUGUAUGGACCAGAUGUGUUUGGGAAUGAUGUGGUCCGAGGCUACGGGGCAGUGCACGUGCCUUUCUCACCCGGCAGGCACAAAAGGACCAUCCCCAUGUUUGUCCCAGAAUCCACAUCUAAGCUGCAAAAGUUUACGAGCUGGUUCAUGGGACGGCGGCCCGAGUACACAGACCCCAAGGUGGUGGCUCAGGGGGAAGGCCGGGAAGUGACCCGCGUCCACUCCCAGGGCUUUGUCACUCUCCUCUUCAAUGUGGUGACCAAGGACAUGAGGAAGCUGGGCUACGACACUGGGCCUCCCAACACGCAGGGCGCCCCAGGGCCCAGCCCACCACAGGGCCUCCCCCGGUGAAGGCACACACCGGCCACGGCCACCACCACCACCACUGCAUACGGCCCCGCGGCUCUCAGAACCCAGGCCUGGAGCCGCCGCCUCUCCAUCUGGCACUGCCCCCAUCCCUGCAUUGCUCAGGGGACACGGCUGCCCCGAGAGCCACAUGAUGGCCCAACUGGGAUGUGAGUCUGGUUCAGGCCUGGCUCCACCACUGUCGGCCAUGUGGCCUUUCUUCCAGCCACACAUGCUCCUCCUUGGCGACAGGAGCUGCAGGGGGGCCCAGCCUGUCCCCUGCUGGCCCCCAGGCCUGUAGCCCCGAGGACAGGGUGGAAGUCCUCCCAGAGGCCCGAAGCUGCCGGCACCCGAGCCUUCUGGUCUCACAGCAGGAGUCCCGCUGAGCUGAGUCCUCCCCACGCAGAUCCCCACAGCCCCGGGACUCUGUGCUGCUCGGGCCCCCCGUCGCGGCCCCCCCAUGCCCCGUGUGCUCUGGGACCCGUGGUCUGGUCCUGUAAUUCUAACUCCCUCCUCGGAAUGGUUGGUGCCCUCUGCCUCUGCUGUGCUGAGAGCCACACUGGCCCUCGCAGCCCUCCUCAGCAGGGGCUCUGCUGGCCCAGCCGUGUCCCUGCGGCCCCGGGUGACACAUGCAGCCCCCUGCCCCUCACCAGCAUUCCUCGCUUCUGGGACACCCGGGCUGGCUGCCACCUCCCUUGCCCUUGGGCUUUGUCUCCAGCCCUCCUGACACCCUGUGCUCGUCCAUGCAGAGGAGCCCGCCCUCAACUACCCUCUUCCUCACCACCUCCCUAGUGCCCUUGGCCUGACCCCUCAGCAGCCACCCAUCUCAGUGCCUACCUCUCAUCCCCGGUGAUGGCCGGGUCUCCAAGAUCCGCACCCAAGCAGCAUCACCCUCCCUGCCCUGUGGGUCUUCCUGUGGUCCACAGCCAGGAGUCUUUCGUGGCCUGGUCCUGCAAGCCCCCCCCCCCACCCUGUGGGCUGCCCAUCAUCCCUCCAACCCUUUCCUCCCAGCCCAAUUUAGAGUUCACGAGGGUCAUCACAAGUACCUUCAUCCCACACCCUCCACUGCUGGGCCUUGUGUCCCUCCAUCUGCUUCACCCUGUGACAGGGAGCAGUUGACUGGGGUAUUGUCACUGCAGCCAGCCCCAGGCCUGCCUUGCUCAGUCUGCAGCCAGGGCUCCCCCACAGCCACACGCAGACCCAUCGCUCCUCCGCCAGCUCCGCUGGCAUCUUAGAGAAGCUCCACUCCCUGUGUCUUUCCUCUUCAUGUGUCCAGUAGCCAUCACCCUCAGCAGAAGGGCUCAUGGGGAAACAGAAACCAUCCUAGAGGGGUGCCUGGCUGGCUCAGUGGGUGGGGUGUGCAACUUUUCAUCUGGGGGGGGGUGUGAGUUUGAGGCCCAUGCUGGGGCUUGGGAUUACUUUUAAAAAAUAAAAUUUGGGAUCCCUGGGUGGCGCAGCGGUUUGGCACCUGCCUUUGGCCCAGGGCGUGAUCCUGGAGACCCGGGAUCGGGUCCCACGUCGGGCUCCCUGCAUGGAGCCUGUUUCUCCCUCUGCCUCUGUCUCUGCCUCUGUCUCUCUGUGUGUGACUAUCGUGAAUAAAUAAAAUCUUUAAAAAAAAAUAAAAAAUAAAAUUUCUUGGGGCACCUAGGGCUCAGUGGUUGGGCCUCUGCCUUUGGCUCAGGUCAUGAUCCCAGGGUCCUGGGAUCGAGUCCUGCAUCAGGGAGCCCGUUUCUCCC
RNA transcript from Nyctereutes procyonoides (raccoon dog), 2456 nucleotides. It is a transcript of the gene named B9 domain containing 1, with no coding region annotated. The transcript has 8 exons. The record is from RefSeq and is a predicted model, not a curated record. Lineage: Eukaryota; Metazoa; Chordata; Mammalia; Carnivora; Canidae.